UACGAAGGGGGCUAGCGUUGUUCGGAAUCACUGGGCGUAAAGGGCGCGUAGGUGGUUUGAUAAGGGUGUGGUGAAAGUCCGGAGCUCAACUCCGGAUCUGCCGUGCCGACUGUCAAACUCGAGGGCUGUAGAGGCAGACGGAAUUCCGGGUGUAGCGGUGGAAUGCGUAGAGAUCCGGAGGAAGACCGGUGGCGAAGGCGGUCUGCUGGGCAGUUUCUGACACUGAGGCGCGAAAGCGUGGGGAGCGAACAGG
This 253-nucleotide ribosomal RNA is filed under the name uncultured bacterium. RNAcentral describes it as "partial 16S ribosomal RNA". It matches the Rfam family "Bacterial small subunit ribosomal RNA", at positions 524 to 776 of the family's 1533-position model. The record is from RNAcentral.